GGAAGUAAAAGUCGUAACAAGGUCUCCGUUGGUGAACCAGCGGAGGGAUCAUUACCGAGUUAUACAACUCCCAAACCCACUGUGAACCUUACCUCAGUUGCCUCGGCGGGAACGCCCCGGCCGCCUGCCCCCGCGCCGGCGCCGGACCCAGGCGCCCGCCGCAGGGACCCCAAACUCUCUUGCAUUACGCCCAGCGGGCGGAAUUUCUUCUCUGAGUUGCACAAGCAAAAACAAAUGAAUCAAAACUUUCAACAACGGAUCUCUUGGUUCUGGCAUCGAUGAAGAACGCAGCGAAAUGCGAUAAGUAAUGUGAAUUGCAGAAUUCAGUGAAUCAUCGAAUCUUUGAACGCACAUUGCGCCCGCCAGCAUUCUGGCGGGCAUGCCUGUUCGAGCGUCAUUUCAACCCUCGAGCCCCCCCCGGGGGCCUCGGUGUUGGGGGACGGCACACCAGCCGCCCCCGAAAUGCAGUGGCGACCCCGCCGCAGCCUCCCCUGCGUAGUAGCACACACCUCGCACCGGAGCGCGGAGGCGGUCACGCCGUAAAACGCCCAACUUUCUUAGAGUUGACCUCGGAUCAGGUAGGAAUACCCGC
RNAcentral lists this ribosomal RNA (592 nucleotides) under Purpureocillium lilacinum. RNAcentral describes it as "eukaryotic LSU rRNA". The stretch from base 244 to 397 matches the Rfam family "5.8S ribosomal RNA". The record is from RNAcentral. Lineage: Eukaryota; Fungi; Ascomycota; Sordariomycetes; Hypocreales; Ophiocordycipitaceae.